ACGCUCGACACCUACUGGAGGCAGCGGUGGGGAAUAUUGCACAAUGGGGGAAACCCUGAUGCAGCGACGCCGCGUGGAGGAAGAAGGUCUUCGGAUUGUAAACUCCUGUUGUUGGGGAAAAAGAGGAUGGUACCCAACAAGGAAGUGACGGCUAACUACGUGCCGGCAGCCGCGGUAAUCUGAGCGGGCUGGCAAGGC
Molecule: ribosomal RNA, 198 nt
Filed under: uncultured bacterium
Lineage: Bacteria
Description: partial 16S ribosomal RNA
Rfam family: Bacterial small subunit ribosomal RNA
Source: RNAcentral